AGCCUGAUGGAGCAACACCGCGUGAGUGAAGAAGGGUUUCGGCUCGUAAAGCUCUGUUGUUGGAGAAGAACGUGCGUGAGAGUAACUGUUCACGCAGUGACGGUAUCCAACCAGAAAGUCACGGCUAACUACGUGCCAGCAGCCGCGGUAAUACGUAGGUGGCAAGCGUUAUCCGGAUUUAUUGGGCGUAAAGCGAGCGCAGGCGGUUGCUUAGGUCUGAUGUGAAAGCCUUCGGCUUAACCGAAGAAGGGCAUCGGAAACCGGGCGACUUGAGUGCAGAAGAGGACAGUGGAACUCCAUGUGUAGCGGUGGAAUGCGUAGAUAUAUGGAAGAACACCAGUGGCGAAGGCGGCUGUCUGGUCUGCAACUGACGCUGAGGCUCGAAAGCAUGGGUAGCGAACAGGAUUAGAUACCCUGGUAGUCCAUGCCGUAAACGAUGAGUGCUAGGUGUUGGAGGGUUUCCGCCCUUCAGUGCCGGAGCUAACGCAUUAAGCACUCCGCCUGGGGAGUACGACCGCAAGGUUGAAACUCCAGAUUUGACGG
Molecule: ribosomal RNA, 543 nt
Filed under: Limosilactobacillus reuteri
Lineage: Bacteria; Bacillati; Bacillota; Bacilli; Lactobacillales; Lactobacillaceae
Description: bacterial SSU rRNA
Rfam family: Bacterial small subunit ribosomal RNA
Source: RNAcentral